GAUGAACGCUGGCGGCGUGCUUAACACAUGCAAGUCGAACGAGAAGUGGAGACGGAAACCUUCGGGCGGAAGACUUUACUUCGAGUGGCGGCCGGGUGAGUAACGCGUGGGUAACCUGCCUCAUACAGGGGGAUAACAGUUGGAAACGACUGUUAAUACCGCAUAAGACCACAGCACCGCAUGGUGCGGGGGUAAAAACUCCGGUGGUAUGAGAUGGACCCGCGUUCGAUUAGCCAGUUGGCGGGGUAACGGCCCACCAAAGCGACGAUCGAUAGCCGAUCUGAGAGGAUGACCGGCCACAUUGGGACUGAGACACGGCCCAAACUCCUACGGGAGGCAGCAGUGGGGAAUAUUGCACAAGGGGGGAAGCCCUGAUGCAGCGACGCCGCGUGAGUGAAGAAGUAUUUCGGUAUGUAAAGCUCUAUCAGCAGGGAAGAAAAUGACAGUACCUGAGUAAGAAGCCCCGGCUAACUACGUG
RNAcentral lists this ribosomal RNA (478 nucleotides) under uncultured bacterium. RNAcentral's name for it is "partial 16S ribosomal RNA". It matches the Rfam family "Bacterial small subunit ribosomal RNA", at positions 28 to 507 of the family's 1533-position model. The record is from RNAcentral.